GCGGAGGGAUCAUUACAGAGUUAUCAAAACUCCCAAACCCAUGUGAACAUACCUCGCGUUGCCUCGGCAGGUGGCGUCUCGCCCCGUAAGAACCUACCCUGUAGGACCUUACCCGGUAGACGACCCUGCCGACGGCCCCCGAAACUCUGUUUUAUAGCAUUAAACUUCUGAAAAUAUAACUAAAUAAGUUAAAACUUUCAACAACGGAUCUCUUGGUUCUGGCAUCGAUGAAGAACGCAGCGAAAUGCGAUAAGUAAUGUGAAUUGCAGAAUUCAGUGAAUCAUCGAAUCUUUGAACGCACAUUGCGCCCACUAGUAUUCUGGUGGGCAUGCCUGUUCGAGCGUCAUUUCAACCCUUAAGCCCCUGUUGCUUAGCGUUAGGAGCCUACCGGAACUCUCUGGUAGCUCCCCAAAGUCAGUGGCGGAGCCGGUUCGCACUCCAGACGUAGUAGCUUUUACACGUCGCCUGUAGCGCGGGCCGGUCCCCUGCCGUAAAACACCCCAAUUUUUAUAGGUUGACCUCGGAUCAGGUAGGAAUACCCGCUGAACUUAAGCAUAUCAAUAAGCGGAGGAAAG
Molecule: ribosomal RNA, 575 nt
Filed under: fungal sp. NLR-2013
Lineage: Eukaryota; Fungi
Description: eukaryotic LSU rRNA
Rfam family: 5.8S ribosomal RNA (bases 193-346)
Source: RNAcentral